Bubalus bubalis (water buffalo) is the source of this 356-nucleotide long non-coding RNA. RefSeq lists it as uncharacterized. The record is from RefSeq and is a predicted model, not a curated record. Lineage: Eukaryota; Metazoa; Chordata; Mammalia; Artiodactyla; Bovidae. The transcript has 3 exons.
CAGAGGGAGAGAGAGAUUAUCAGCAAGUCUAACAGAAAAGUUAGACACAUAGACUCGCAUAGUUCCUGAAUCACCAAUGUGAUUGCUUGAUCUCACUCCUUCUGAACUGAGCUUGGCCAAAGAUGCCCAAAGAAUGGGAGCACCUGUCUACUUCCCAAGUGAAGCUCCAGACCCUACUCCUUUCUCUAGAGAUACCACUUUUAAUGGAUCACAAGCCAAUUCUCUCUCAGGGAAACUCCAGUUGAUUCCAAGUUGCCACCUACUAUACUGCUAAUUAGAGGCUACUUUUAUGACUCCAAGAUACUCUGCAGCUCCCGUUUCCUGUUGAUUGUACAUGUUUCUUGGUUAAUAAAGCA